This 1038-nucleotide ribosomal RNA is filed under the name Triticum aestivum (bread wheat). Its description in RNAcentral is "partial small subunit ribosomal RNA". The record is from RNAcentral. Lineage: Eukaryota; Viridiplantae; Streptophyta; Magnoliopsida; Poales; Poaceae.
AUGCUACCUUUAACUAUUGACAAACAUCAGAGAGUGUCUUAUCAAGCAAUUUUAAACGGAACUAACGAGUUCUCAGAUGCCAACUUACUUGGUAAAGGAAGAUUUGGUGCUGUUUACAGAUGCACCUUGGAUGAUGAGGGUACAGGUACAAAUGUGGCCGUAAAGGUGUUUGAUCCCCAACAAUCAGGAUCUUCCAAGAGUUUUGAGGUUGAAUGUGAGGCAUUGAGAAGAGUGCGUCACCGAUGUAUCCUAAAAAUCAUCACCUGUUGCGCAAGCAUCAGCCCCCAAGGUCAAGAGUUCAAGGCUCUGGUUUUUGAGCUCAUGCCUAACAACAGCCUAGACAGUUGGCUUCAUCCUAACUCCCAAGAGCCGGCUCCAUGCAGUACGCUCAGCCUGGCUCAGCGGCUGGACAUUGCCGUUGAUAUCCUGGAUGCACUGGACUAUCUUCACAAUGACUGUCAACCACCAAUCAUCCACUGUGAUAUCAAGCCAAGCAACAUACUUCUCGCACAGGACAUGAGUGCACGUGUGGGAGAUUUUGGCAUAGCAAGAGUUCUUCCUGAGAAUGCAAGCCAAACCAUGCUGAAUUCAACUAGAUCCGCAGGAGUACGAGGUUCCAUUGGCUACAUUGCUCCAGAGUACGGGGAAGGAUCUGCUACCUCACCUCUUGGCGAUGUUUAUAGCAUUGGUAUAUUGUUGCUUGAGAUGUUCACUGGAAGAAGUCCCACAGACGACAUGUUCAAAGGUUCACUGAAUCUGCAUAAAUUUGCUGAGGCCGCUCUUCCAGAUAAAGUCAUGGAAAUAGCAGACCCAGCAAUCUGGAUACACACAGAGGCAAAUGAUACAGGUGUAGCCGACACCGGCACUGCACGAACAAGAACUGAGGAAUGCUUGGUUUCUGUCAUGAGUGUUGGCAUAUCCUGCUCAAUGCAACAGCCCAGGGAGCGAAUGCUGAUAAGGGAUGCAGCUUCAGAGAUGCGCGCAGUCAGAGAUGCAUACCUUAUAUUUGCCAAUUCACCAAUACAUCAGAGAAAAUAA